GGUAUUCCUUAUCUGUCUAAUGGGUUAUCUGGAGCCUGUCUCCCUGCGCUUUCAUGCAAAAGCGCACGAAGACAGGCCCAAUCGGUUAGUUGCCUAG
RNAcentral lists this small RNA (97 nucleotides) under Edwardsiella tarda. RNAcentral's name for it is "tp2". It matches the Rfam family "tp2", at positions 1 to 99 of the family's 114-position model. Lineage: Bacteria; Pseudomonadati; Pseudomonadota; Gammaproteobacteria; Enterobacterales; Hafniaceae. The record is from RNAcentral.